RNAcentral lists this transfer RNA (73 nucleotides) under Paramuricea clavata. It matches the Rfam family "tRNA". From Rfam's summary of the family: Transfer RNA (tRNA) molecules are approximately 80 nucleotides in length. Their secondary structure includes four short double-helical elements and three loops (D, anti-codon, and T loops). Lineage: Eukaryota; Metazoa; Cnidaria; Anthozoa; Malacalcyonacea; Plexauridae. The record is from Rfam by way of RNAcentral.
GGCCGCGUGGCUCAGUUGGAAGAGCAUUGGGCUAGUAUUCCAAAGGUCGUAGGUUCGAAUCCCGCCGUGGCCG